This 411-nucleotide ribosomal RNA is filed under the name uncultured bacterium. RNAcentral's name for it is "bacterial SSU rRNA". It matches the Rfam family "Bacterial small subunit ribosomal RNA", at positions 507 to 916 of the family's 1533-position model. The record is from RNAcentral.
CUCAGCAGCCGCGGUAAUACAUAGGGUGCGAGCGUUAAUCGGAAUUACUGGGCGUAAAGGGUGCGCAGGCGGUUUUGUAAGUCAGAUGUGAAAUCCCCGAGCUCAACUUGGGAACUGCGUUYGAWACURYMAGACUAGAGUGUGUCAGAGGGGGGUAGAAUUCCWCGUGUAGCAGUGAAAUGCGUAGAUAUGUGGAGGAAYACCAAUGGCGAAGGCAGCCCCCUGGGAUAACACUGACGCUCAUGCACGAAAGCGUGGGGAGCAAACAGGAUUAGAUACCCUGGUAGUCCACGCCCUAAACGAUGUCUACUAGUUGUUGGUGGAGUAAAAUCCAUGAGUAACGCAGCUAACGCGUGAAGUAGACCGCCUGGGGAGUACGGUCGCAAGAUUAAAACUCAAAGGAAUUGACGG